CCUACGGGUGGCAGCAGUGAGGAAUAUUGGUCAAUGGACGAGAGUCUGAACCAGCCAAGUAGCGUGAAGGAUGACUGCCCUAUGGGUUGUAAACUUCUUUUAUAUGGGAAUAAAAUGAUCCACGUGUGGGAUUUUGUAUGUACCAUAUGAAUAAGGAUCGGCUAACUCCGUGCCAGCAGCCGCGGUAAUACGGAGGAUCCGAGCGUUAUCCGGAUUUAUUGGGUUUAAAGGGAGCGUAGGUGGAUUGUUAAGUCAGUUGUGAAAGUUUGCGGCUCAACCGUAAAAUUGCAGUUGAAACUGGCAGUCUUGAGAACAGUAGAGGUGGGCGGAAUUCGUGGUGUAGCGGUGAAAUGCUUAGAUAUCACGAAGAACUCCGAUUGCGAAGGCAGUUCACUGGACUGCAACUGACACUGAGGCUCGAAAGUGUGGGUAUCAAACAGGAUUAGAUACCCCUGUAGUC
This 460-nucleotide ribosomal RNA is filed under the name uncultured bacterium. RNAcentral describes it as "partial 16S ribosomal RNA". It matches the Rfam family "Bacterial small subunit ribosomal RNA", at positions 338 to 795 of the family's 1533-position model. The record is from RNAcentral.